RNAcentral lists this ribosomal RNA (271 nucleotides) under uncultured Parvimonas sp. RNAcentral describes it as "partial 16S ribosomal RNA". It matches the Rfam family "Bacterial small subunit ribosomal RNA", at positions 524 to 796 of the family's 1533-position model. Lineage: Bacteria; Bacillati; Bacillota; Tissierellia; Tissierellales; Peptoniphilaceae. The record is from RNAcentral.
UACGUAGGGUGCGAGCGUUAAUCGGAAUUACUGGGCGUAAAGCGUGCGCAGGCGGUUGUGCAAGACAGAGGUGAAAUCCCCGGGCUUAACCUGGGAACUGCCUUUGUGACUGCAUGGCUAGAGUGUGUCAGAGGGGGGUAGAAUUCCACGUGUAGCAGUGAAAUGCGUAGAUAUGUGGAGGAAUACCGAUGGCGAAGGCAGCCCCCUGGGAUAACACUGACGCUCAUGCACGAAAGCGUGGGGAGCAAACAGGAUUAGAAACCCGUAGUCC